RNAcentral lists this ribosomal RNA (253 nucleotides) under uncultured bacterium. Its description in RNAcentral is "partial 16S ribosomal RNA". It matches the Rfam family "Bacterial small subunit ribosomal RNA", at positions 524 to 776 of the family's 1533-position model. The record is from RNAcentral.
UACGUAGGGUGCGAGCGUUGUCCGGAAUUAUUGGGCGUAAAGAGCUUGUAGGCGGUUUGUCGCGUCUGCUGUGAAAAUCCGGGGCUCAACCCCGGACUUGCAGUGGGUACGGGCAGACUAGAGUGUGGUAGGGGAGACUGGAAUUCCUGGUGUAGCGGUGAAAUGCGCAGAUAUCGGGAGGAACACCGGUGGCGAAGGCGGUUCUCUGGGCCUGUACUGACGCUGAGGAGCGAAAGCGUGGGGAGCGAACAGG